Syngnathoides biaculeatus (alligator pipefish) is the source of this 1100-nucleotide long non-coding RNA. RefSeq lists it as uncharacterized. Lineage: Eukaryota; Metazoa; Chordata; Actinopteri; Syngnathiformes; Syngnathidae. The transcript is spliced from 2 exons. The record is from RefSeq and is a predicted model, not a curated record.
UACUUACCACCACUCUUUGGACAAGUAGACGCCACACUGCAUAUUGCCUUUCAUUCCUGGACAUUUCUGGACAUUUGUUGACUUGGACUAUUCGCUGGAAAGAGCAUUUGCCUGGUUGCACAACUCUGAUGUCAAGAACAGCAAUUGUGACGUGGGGCAGCGGCAGUCAUGAUCAGAGGACAAGCACCAUUGAAGACCUAACGACCCGUGAGCCAAUCACACGGCUGCAGAGCUCUUUCUACUUCAGCAAUCCCGCAGAGGACACCGGCCGGCUUGACGCUUUCAUUCUUUGAGCCAACAUGUCUAAUUAACAGAGAAAAACAGAGGCAGCCUUGUUUACUCCCAUAAAUAAUGAAUUUCACCUUACACAACGAGACACUUACGUAAGAUAAAGUGUGUGUGUGACGCCCGUCAUGUUUCCCUUCACGCCGCCAUGUUGUAUUAUGUAACCCAAUGAGGACAAUUGGGUUUGUUGCUUUAUUUGUCCCCGCUUGCUCGCUCCAAUGUCAUUAUGCAAAGUUUGGUGCUCAAAGGAAGCAAGGCGGACACAAAAGAAAUCAGGCAUGUAGUUUUAGUUUAAAUAUAUAAACAUGAUGCUGUAAAGACUUAACGUUGAGUGUGUGCCCUAAAAAGGGAAACUGUCGAACUGGUGUGGACGAAUGCAGUUUGUGCUAAAGAAAUUAACUUCACUGUAAUCUUACCAAAAAAAAAAAAAAAACGAAUUAACUGUUGAAAAAAAACCCGAAUUAACUGUUGAGGCAAUCACAGCUCAUUUCGUGACAUAGAUGCAUGUAUACCGUUUAGCUGAAAAGUGAUGCCUUGAGAUAGAGCAGGGUUGGGUUACAUUAAAGUAUUCCGAUACAGUUAAAGUUGCUAAAUGUAGUCAGUAAUGCAAUCUUUUAAGUAUAAGAUUUUCAAGCCAUGUAACUUGAGAAGUCAUCGCUGAACCUAUUCAACUCAUAUCUCAAGGCAAUACUGUGUUUAACUUUUAGAUUAAAUACAUUUGCAUGAAAUCAAACUUUCAAUGCUUAAUAUAAAGCACAACAUUUAACUUUUAUGUGCAAUACAUAUUAAAUAAUUGUUGAAGUUGGUUUUUUAAA